CGCACCUUGUCACCCUCUGGUAUUCCGGAGGGUAUGCCCGGUUGAGUGUCAUGAAUAUCUCAAACUCCAAUGUUUUGUCAAAGGUCUUUGUCGACUCGUCCUGUCCGGCCUAGCGAGGCUGUCUGUCGAACUGUUGGCGAGGACUGAAGCAUUGGAGCUUGGACUUUGAGCUCUGUUGGCCUUCCCAGGUCGACUGGCUAGAAAUGACAUCAGCGAUGACGUCCCUUGGGUCCAUCUACGGCGUGAUAAGUUGAUCGUCGCAAAGGUCCUUGGGUUGGCUCGGCUCCUAAAUCGUCUUCGGGACAGGCCUCUGAACGUUUACACCUCAACUCGGGUAGGACUACCCGCUGAACUUAA
RNAcentral lists this ribosomal RNA (357 nucleotides) under uncultured Tulasnellaceae. RNAcentral describes it as "eukaryotic LSU rRNA". The record is from RNAcentral. Lineage: Eukaryota; Fungi; Basidiomycota; Agaricomycetes; Cantharellales; Tulasnellaceae.